Molecule: ribosomal RNA, 253 nt
Filed under: uncultured bacterium
Lineage: Bacteria
Description: partial 16S ribosomal RNA
Rfam family: Bacterial small subunit ribosomal RNA
Source: RNAcentral
UGCGUAGGGGGCAAGCGUUGUCCGGAUUUACUGGGCGUAAAGAGCGCGUAGGCGGAGAUCUAAGCGUGGCCUGAAAGCCCCCGGCUCAACCGGGGAGUGCGGCUGCGAACUGGGUUUCUUGAGGACGAUAGAGGAGAGUGGAAUUCCUGGUGUAGCGGUGAAAUGCGUAGAUAUCCGGAGGAAGACCGGUGGCGAAGGCGGUCUGCUGGGCAGUUUCUGACACUGAUGCGCGACAGCGUGGGGAGCAAACAGG